CCCUUAGAUGUUCUGGGCCGCACGCGCGCUACACUGAUUCAUGCAACAAGUUUUGUCCUUGGCUGAUAGGCCUGGGUAAUCUUUGAACGGGAAUCGUGAUGGGGAUAGAUGAUUGCAAUUAUUCAUCUUCAACGAGGAAUUCCUAGUAAACGCAAGUCAUCAGCUUGCAUUGAUUACGUCCCUGCCCUUUGUACACACCGCCCGUCGCACCUACCGAUUGAAUGGUCCGGUGAAAUCUUCGGAUCUGAGAGAUGUCUGAUUAAUUUCGGACGCCUUUUGGAAAAGUUGUUUAAACCUUACCAUUUAGAGGAAGGUGAAGUCGUAACA
RNAcentral lists this ribosomal RNA (327 nucleotides) under uncultured eukaryote. RNAcentral's name for it is "partial 18S ribosomal RNA". It matches the Rfam family "Eukaryotic small subunit ribosomal RNA", at positions 1470 to 1796 of the family's 1831-position model. The record is from RNAcentral.